UUGUGUAUUUUUUUACUGAUUCACUAUUGGAUUAACAAGAAUUAUCUUACUUUAAAUUUCUUGCUUUAAAAAAAAAAAAGAAUUAUCUUACUUCAUGUAUGGUAUGCCAACUGUUCGAUAAAGGUCCUUUUAGAAAUCUUCUAUUGAUUACCUUGCGAAGACCACAAAACUAGACACACCCAAAAGCAUUCUUGCAUAGUUUAUACAUAGAGAUGGCCGAUUGAUGAUCGUCUUAUUUGUAGACUUAACGCGAGCAGACUCGAUCGCUUAGUCCUUAUUGAUUUACGACACACAUGCUCACACACACACAUACACACAUCACAAAAUCACACAAAUUGACGGAUAAUGUUGCCGUUCAGCUCCUUCCUGAACCUCACCGCGGCAUUUUUCUGCACCAUAGUGGCCGUGAAAUACCACGAGACGAUGUCAUGGACGGCGACGUGUUGUCCGGUGGCGGCGGAUAGCCCGACCUGAACCUGCUGAGGAACAAAGUCGCUCAAAUCGUACUCAUAGUUGACAUCAAAUGUCUGCGAGCCGGCGGUGACUUUCACGGAGAUCAUCCUUGUGGCUCCGACGUAGUUGAUCCGCGCAGUCACCUGCUGCCCGAGUAUGGAGUUGUCGACCUUCGUCGUGUUGCUGGAUGCCCUAGAGCCGAAGUCGAUGCCGAUGUGGGGAUAGAGCGGAUCCCACGCGCCGUUGACGUAGGUGUCGAUUUCGACGGCGAAGACCGAGGGGCUGUUGCCGUUGGAGCCAAAGAUUCCGAGGUUGGCUCCGUUGGAGCCAGGGGGGAUGGUGGAACCGACGGGGGCAAUGAAGAAGGCGAGGCCGUCGGCAGGCUCGUUGUCGGCGCCCGGGGUGAUGAUGAAGUUCACAGUGGUUUCGAAGUCGACCUGCCCACCGGACUGCGAGAAUUGGACCGGGUUCGAGUGCAAGACGCGGCCGACUUGUGAGGGCUGUGCGUCUGUGAGGCGGAGGAAGGUGGAGUCCGUCGGGAAAUGGGCGCUGCCUUGAUAGAUGAGAUCUUUCGGCUGGUCGCCCCAGAAGUCGUAGGUGAAGGACGUCGUUUGGGACAACGCCGUGUUGGAAACGGCGAGGAGGAGGGCGAUGGAGGCGAGGAGAGGAGUUAAGGUUUGAACAAGCUGGUUGGCCAUGGCUUAAUUGAUUUAGAUUUAGAUUUAGAGAUGUGGUGGAUGAUGGUGGCCAGGUAUCGAUCUCUUGCACCUAUUUAUACUAGUAUGGUUCAUGCCUGUUAAUAAUUGUAUAUAUCAAUCAAUCAUCGUGCAUCUAUCCCAAAUUAUAUGUCUUAUUAUUCACUAAUUAGAUGGAAUAAAUCCUAAUUAGCAAUCUUAAAAUUACACCGCCAAUGAGGCCUUGCUCUAGUGGUAAAGCUGUGGCACCGAAUAACUUUUCUUUGUGAAAGGUCUUGGGUUCAAUCUCGCCUGCAUGCGGUGAUGUUUGUCCAUUUUAGAUGGUGUGGUAUUCUUGCCUGCGUGCGGUGUUGUAUUAUUUAGUCUUAGGCGUUCUUGCCUGUGUGCAUAUCACUGUGUGACAAUUAAAAGAAUGACUUUAAAAUAAAAGUUAAGCCUUAAAAAUUUAAUCUACAUUCAUAUAUAACUGAAAUUACAUGCAUGUCUAAUUUUUUUAAUAUCAUAACAAGAUAAGAUUUAUUAAAUAAUUCAGAUGCAUAAAUAAAAAGUUAAUCUAUAAACACAGUAUAGAUAUAUUAUCAAUGAUAGGCCGUGUAUAAGUCUUAAUCUGUAAAACUAUAUCAUCCCAGCCUUAAACGACUACCAUUCCUGCUUUCCCAGAGCAACCACACUGUUCCCACCCACAAAGCUUUAAGCAGUACAUGCAUGUCUAAAUAUUAUUUAUAAUUAUCAAUAACAAGAUUAAUGAUUCUAUAUCUCUAUGUUUAUACAUAUAUUCACGUAUGACAUAGUAUAUAUUAGCUAUUAAGUUAAAAACUAAUAAAAUACUACAGUUUUGCAUAGGAUAUAUAUUUAAUUAGUAGUAGGAUAGGACACGUGUAUUAAUUUUAAGGGCAAGUAAUCAAACUUUUGAAUGAUUCAUCAUGCUUAAAAAAAAAAAGAGACCUAGAUAGAUGAUUCAUCAGAUUCAAAAACAAGUAUAAAUAGACUUCGAGUUUGAAAUUUUAAUUAAUUUGCAACAACAAUUCAAACUGACUGUAUUAAGGUAAGUAGUUACAGAUUUCAUACACAUUAUAUGAUUUCGCGCACAUACGUAUGUAUAUAUAAAUAUUUUUUAAAAUCAUAUACUCCCUCCGUCCCCAAAAUAAGUUCCUCUUUGGGGACGGCACGGAUUUUAAGGAAAAGUGGUAAAGUGUAUUAAUAGUGGAGAAAAAUAUGUUAUAAUUAGUAUUGGAAGUUGUGAAAAGGUGAAAAAGUGUUAUAAUUAGUAUUGGGAGUGGUGAAAAAGUGAAAAGUAAGAAUAAAUAAAGUAUUAUUAGUGGUGGGGUAGUUGUCCAAAAAUGGAAAAAAAGAAAGAGGAACUUAUUUGGGGGACAUCCCAAAAUGGAAAAAGAGGAACUUAUUUCAGGGACGGAGGGAGUAUUAUAUAAUAAUUAUAUUUAAGUUUUAUAUUAUUCUUUAUAAACUAUUGUUCCAUUCUAUAUAAUUAGGUGUGGCACGACUAGGACGUAACUUUCGAUUGAAUUUCUCAAGUUAAUUUUCAAGUUCAAGUUUCAGGUGUGAGAUUUAUUUAAAUACAUGUCAUGAUUAUUCAUUGUCCAUUUUAAUAGUAUGUGUUUACCAUAUGUGUUAUGACGCAUAUUUUGAGGACAUCGCUAGGAGCCCAUAAAUAGGGUCCAGGACUUCACCGUCCUUGGAUUGCCACAAUGCGAUUUGAGGUUUAUUUUGAGGAUGUCGUCAGGGGCCCGUAAAUAGGGUCCAGGACUUUAAUAGUCAUUGGGUUGCCACAGUGCGAAUAUUGAAGAUAUAUAUGAAGUGACCGUAUGUGUUACCGUUUCAUUAACGUGGACAAUGAUUGCAUGUUUAAGAGACAAUAACCAAUUUUUCAGACAUUUGUGAACAAAAUGAAGCAUGUUUAGAGAUCCUUAAUAAAGGUGUACGAAAUGAUGGAUAAAUAAGUUUGUGAAACAAAUUUCACCAUACCUAACCCCACAAUUAUUUGCGGUCGAAUUUCCUCGUCACAGGAAAAAGAGAUGAUGACAAAAGGGCAAAAAUUAAUUAACAAAGUAGAAGAUGCAUGACAACUGUAAAAGAAAAAUAAUGCUACUAAUUAAAUAGUCCAAACUUCAUACGUUUCAUAUCAUAAGUGGCAGUUCUAUUUUUUUUUUGCGAAAGUGAACAAAAUAACGAAUAAUUUUUAAAGUAAUAGUAAUAAGGAGAUGUGUUUUGACAGAAAACGACAUGAGCGGCCUAAAAAUAAGAGGGAAAAAGAUAAUCAUAUAAAUAUGGGUUAAUUGCCUCUAAAUACACCACCUUUCCUUGAAUUCUACAAUUGCACAUCACCUUUAAAAUCCGCCCUUAAAUACACCACCUUUCCUUGAGUUCUACAAUUGCACAUCACCUUUAAAUCCGCCCCAAAAUACAUCAUCUUUAUAUUUUUUCUGUUUUUGCACAUGACUAAAAAAUUCUCAAGAAAUAAAUUAAAGUGUUAAUUUAUAAAUUUAAAUAUCUUUUUAGCAGCGAAAACAUAAUAAAAUAAAAUUCUUUAUAAAGUUUAAAAUCAUAUAUAUAUAUAUAUAUAUAUAAGUAUUUUCGUAAAGAAAUAAAUUCUCUAAUAAAUUUUUAGAAAGAACUUGAAUUAAAAAAAUAAACAAGUCAUGACAUUAAGAAAAUAAAAUGAAAUUUUUAUUUUAAUAAAUUUCACACGAAUUCGAUAUAAUUUGGAAUUUAGAGUUACAAUAAUCAGAAGUACCACAUGAAUAAUAUAAUGAGUUUGAAAGAAAUUUUUUUUAAAGAGGUUCGACACGCCCAUUCGACUUUCCACGCGCCUCCAAUGUCAUUUACCUGAAAUAUUAANUAUAUAAGUAUUUUUCGUAAAGAAAUAAAUUCUCUAAUAAAUUUUUAGAAAGAACUUGAUUAAAAAAUAAACAAGACAUGACAUUAAGAAAAUAAAAUGAAACUUUUAUUUUAAUAAAUUUCACACGAAUUCGAUAUAAUUUGGAAUUUAGAGUUACAAUAAUAAAAAGAACCACAUAAAUAAUAUAAUCAGUUUGAAAGAAAUAUAUAUAUAUUUUUUUAAAGAGGUUCGACGCGCCCAUUCGACUCUCCACGCGCUACCAAUGUCAUUACCUGAAAUACUAAAUAUGGGAUAAGCAUACAUAAUAUACUUAGUGUGGGAACAUGCAAUUAUUGUCCACGUUAAUAAAAUAGUAACACAUACGAUCAUAACAUUCAAAACGACACAAUUUUGCCAAUAUGGAAGCCACGUCAUUUAAAGUGGUAACACCCUAAUCUAACUAAAGUGUUAAAUAUAAAUUUAAAGCGGAAAUAUAAUAAAAUAAAGUUCUUUAUAAAAAUAAAUAAAGAAUUUUAUUUUAUUAUAUUUCCGCUGCUAAAAAAGAUAUUUAAAAUUUAUAAAUUAACACUUUAAUUUAUUUCUUGAGGAUUUUUAAGUCAUGUGCAAAAACAGAAAAAAAAUAUAAAGGUGAUGUAUUUUGGGGCGGAUUUAGAAUUCAAGGAAAUGUGGUGUAUUUAGGGGCGGAUUUUAAAGGUGAUGUGCAAUUGUAGAAUUCAAGGAAAGGUGGUGUAUUUAGGGGAAAUUAACCCUAUAAAUAUUCAAAAUCAAACGGAUUGGCAUGUAUUCAUCAUUUUUUAUUUUUUAUUUUGAUAAUUUAACAGUAUUAAAUAAAGAAAUUUAUAGGCUGCGUCCCUUACUGCUUGGCUUUUAGAUUAUGUUGUAAUAAUAAAAUUAAAAGCACGUUUACAAUAUAAAAUUAAUUAUGAUAAAUACAAUAUAUUAAUAAUAAAUACUCAAUUACCUCUUAACAUAAUUCGCGCAUCAUGGCUUUUAGCUUAUAUUAUAAAGAUAUAAUAUGUUGUCUAUAAUAAUCGACGGAAGGUAAUAGACAACAUGUUUUACUUCUUGUCUAUAAUAAUAUAGACAGUAGAUCUAGUGUUAUAGAUAACAAUUAAUACGUGUUGUCUAUAUGAUGAUAGACACCAAAAAUCUCUGUUGUCUAUUCUAUGACAAAAAAAUUUAAAAAAAUUCUAAUAUAUUUACAUCCCUGUAUUACAAUACCAAUAUAUAUGAAAAAAUAAAAAUAAUUAAAAAUCAAAUAAUCAAACAAUACUUAUAAACCACUAAUACUCACAAUCAAAUAUUUACACAUCAACAAUUGUAUUAUCUUUAAUUACGCCUUCAUUUAUCUACUAAAAAAAAUCUCUAAUAAAAUCUCUAACUAACUCCGGUCAUCAUCUCUUGAAGGCUUAGAAAAUGUCCAAAUACAGCGGCACAUGCUCAUUAUUGUGUGAGCGAUGAGAACUUUGCGCUGAACCUAUAAAGUAACUAUACUUAACUGGUAAAGUAAUUGUAUCCCGUGAAUCUAAAGGAAGAAUAAACACGUUGAUAGAGUUUGAAAGAAAAGAAUAAAGAGAAUGAAAAUCCAAAGAAUUUGCUUCUUCCGUUGAACAAUCCCUACACAACGUUGAAAUAUCAAUGAAAACAAUGGCUAUCCUAUACUCCCUCCAUCCAUGAAAGAACUUCCUAGGAGGGAGUGACACGGGUUUUAAGAAAAAAUAUUGUUAAGUGUAUUGAGAGUGGAUAAAAGGUAGUUGAGUGUAUUGGGAGUGGUGAAAAUGUGUUAUAGUUAAUAUUGAGAGUUGUGAAAAGUGAAAAGUAAGAGGAUUAUAAGUGGUGGGGUAUAGUCCAAAAAUAGGUAGGAAGUUCUUUUGUGGACGUCCCAAAAAGGAAAGAUAUGAAGUUCUUUCGUGGACGGAGGGAGUAUUAUUUUGCAGCAGCAACCACGUUUAAAAACUCGAUCCCUCUAUUCUUGAAUUUGUGAAAUUUCCGACUGAUUUAUUAGAUUCACCAUUUAUUUCAGUUUAAUUAGUCUAUAUAUAGAUAUUUCUUAUAUUAUUAAAUUGUUAACCUCAUGGUAGAUUUCAAGAUUUGAAAAUUCAACAAAGAGCUUGAGAAUUAUAGAGAUUGGAAGGGGAAGAUGAAACAUAGUUGGGUGAAAUUAGAAACCAAUUAAAGUCAGGAGAUUGAAGAAAAACAUAACUUAAAAACACAAAAUAAGCAAAUCGUAGAUGCAGUAUCUUGCAAGAAAAAGUUCAUAUUCCCAAGGCUAUGAUGAGCACGAAUUAGGGUGUGUCUGCAUUUUAUCCCUCUAAAUGGAGGAAUAAUAAAAUUUUAUGCCUUUAAAUGUUUGCUUUCUUAUCACACAUUCUAAACAAACACCAUUUUUUCUUCCUUAUUUUCACUUCAAUGAGGGAUAAUAUUAUCCCUCCAAUUUUGGUGUGAUAAUAUUAUCCCUCCUACAAGUGAAAAUAAGGAAGAAAAAAUGGUACUCCCUUCGUCCCAAACGAAAUGUCCUGUUUUCCUUUUUGGGCUGUCCCAAACGAAAUGUCCUGUUUCCUUUUUUGGCAAUACACUCUCUCUCUAUACUUAAUAUUUAAAUAAUUUUCACCAACCCACUUUAUCUACUUUAUACACAUUUCUUAAUCUCCGUGCCGAAAAGAAAUGGGACAUUUCGUUUGGGACGGAGGGAGUAUUUGUGUAGGAUGUGGGAUAAGAAAACAAACAUUUAAAGACAUAAAUUUUUGUUAUUCCUCCAUUUAGAGGGAUAAAAAGCAAACACACCUUAGAGUCUAAUUACAAUUUAGGCGCAGGCUGUGUGAGAAUUACUUAGUCGAAUAGGAUCCUUAGUAUUUAUAUUUCUCAUGUUCUUGUGUAUUUUUUCACUGAUUCACUAUUGGAUUAACAAGAAUUAUCUUACUUUAAAAAAAAAAAAGAAAUGAUCUUACUUCAUGUAUGGUAUGCCAACUGUUCGAUAAAGGUCCUUUUAGAAAUAUUCCAUAGAUUACCUUGCAAAGACCACAAAACUAGACACACCCUGCAUAGUUUAUACAUAGGGAUGGCCGAUUGAUGAUCGUCUUAUUUGUAGACUUAACGAGAGCAGACUCGAUCGCUUAGUCCUUACUGAUUUACGACACACAUGCACACAUACACAGAUACACACAUCACAAAAUCACGCAAAUUGACGGAUAAUGUUGCCGGCCAGCUCCUUCCUGCUCCACGCCACGGCAUUUUUCUGCACCAUGGUGGCCGUGAAAUACCACGAGACGAUGUCAUGG
RNAcentral lists this long non-coding RNA (7283 nucleotides) under Salvia miltiorrhiza (redroot sage). Its description in RNAcentral is "long non-coding RNA (SMIL_LNC011427)". Lineage: Eukaryota; Viridiplantae; Streptophyta; Magnoliopsida; Lamiales; Lamiaceae. The record is from RNAcentral.